UGUAUUAAAGAAUUAAAUGGAUGAAAUAUGAAGUUUUAUUAAAAGAAAAAGGGGUGAAAAGAACAAAGUUUUGUCCAUCUUUGUUCAUCAUAGCUGAAAGUUAGAGAAGAGAAAGGAGAGGAGAAAGCUCUUGAGUAUUCGGUCAUUAGGAGGAGGAAAAUUGAAGGAAAUCCCCAACCAUAGUGGGCUUGGAGCUGUGAGGGAAUUCGGAGGGGCCACACGUUCUGAAAGUUUGACUUUCUUCUGGUGAACUGGACAUCCUUUUAUUUAUAUUUGAAGUUUUGGGUUUUUAAAUGUAAUAAGGCCGCUUAAUUAUUUUUGAUGGUUUUAAUAUGUAUUACUAAGAUAGGUAUUACUUAUUUUAACUGUUGAAAUUGGAUAGCUUUAGGGCGCGUUUUCAAAAACAACAGUUGAUUUCAAAAUAACACGACAACAAGCAAAGCUUCCGCAAUGAAAGUAUUUUCCAAAAUUAAUCACUUUUCCUAAAAA
Gossypium arboreum is the source of this 489-nucleotide long non-coding RNA. RefSeq lists it as uncharacterized. The transcript has 2 exons. Lineage: Eukaryota; Viridiplantae; Streptophyta; Magnoliopsida; Malvales; Malvaceae. The record is from RefSeq and is a predicted model, not a curated record.